AACCCAUGGUGAAAGCACCUUCUCAGUCAGUCCUUGUAUCUCUCCCAUGCAUCGUAAUGUGUUUCUAAAUCCAUCUGCACAAAAGAAGAAAUAUCAUUACCUAAUUU
RNAcentral lists this small nucleolar RNA (107 nucleotides) under Gossypium hirsutum (cotton). RNAcentral's name for it is "Plant small nucleolar RNA R71". It matches the Rfam family "Plant small nucleolar RNA R71". Rfam says of the family: R71 is a member of the C/D box family of snoRNAs containing the C (UGAUGA) and D (CUGA) box motifs. Multiple nearly identical copies of this snoRNA have been identified in Arabidopsis, and it is thought to function as a 2'-O-ribose methylation guide for 18S ribosomal RNA. The record is from Rfam by way of RNAcentral. Lineage: Eukaryota; Viridiplantae; Streptophyta; Magnoliopsida; Malvales; Malvaceae.